GGUUUUGCGGGCGUCGAGACACUCAACAACGCGUAAAAAUGUCACUCUUUACGAAUAUUACACAUUAACACAAUAUUACUUCACUAUUACUACACACACACCUAUACAAACAGUUUUAUCUUUUUUAUUAGUAUUCUUUUCAUUAGUAUUUUUAAUAGACGUAGUCUUAUCAUCCUUACCGAUUUCCCGCCUUUUGUAUUUAUCUGUGCACUAAUAUUACUAUUUAUGUAUUUGUACGAGCACGAUCGUACAUCCUGCUGCACCGUCAGCAUCGACCGCCGGGCGACCCAUGAACCCUCAGCGUGCACCGUCGGCACUCUACACCGACGGCACACUAGCAAAUACGUUUCAUUGUGUACAGUAAAUAACUUAUGUAUAAAUAGCAAUAGAAUCAUAACAAUAAACAGAUAUCAACCGUC
Molecule: long non-coding RNA, 419 nt
Organism: Ostrinia nubilalis (European corn borer)
Lineage: Eukaryota; Metazoa; Arthropoda; Insecta; Lepidoptera; Crambidae
Exons: 2
Source: RefSeq, a predicted model, not a curated record